GGGGAAUAUUGCGCAAUGGGGGAAACCCUGACGCAGCGACGCCGCGUGAGCGAAGAAGGCCUUCGGGUUGUAAAGCUCUGUUGUAAGGGACGAAAGAAUAAGGGAGUAACUGCCCUUAAAGUGACGGUACCUUACCAGCAAGCCCCGGCUGAACUACGUGCCAGCAGCCGCGGUAAGACGUAGGGGGCGAGCGUUGUCCGGAAUUACUGGGCGUAAAGAGCACGUAGGCGGAUGUAUAAGUCAGGUGUGAAAGACCGCAGCCUAACUGCGGGGUUGCACUUGAAACUGUAUAUCUUGAGGGCAGGAGAGGUUAGUAGAAUUCCUGGUGUAGCGGUGAAAUGCGUAGAUAUCAGGAAGAACACCAGUGGCGAAGGCGGCUCUCUGGCCUGAAACUGACGCUCAGGUACGAAAGCUGGGGUAGCAAACG
This 427-nucleotide ribosomal RNA is filed under the name uncultured Syntrophomonadaceae bacterium. RNAcentral describes it as "bacterial SSU rRNA". It matches the Rfam family "Bacterial small subunit ribosomal RNA", at positions 356 to 774 of the family's 1533-position model. Lineage: Bacteria; Bacillati; Bacillota; Clostridia; Eubacteriales; Syntrophomonadaceae. The record is from RNAcentral.